RNAcentral lists this long non-coding RNA (329 nucleotides) under Elaeis guineensis (African oil palm). RNAcentral's name for it is "long non-coding RNA (EGUI_LNC078640)". The record is from RNAcentral. Lineage: Eukaryota; Viridiplantae; Streptophyta; Magnoliopsida; Arecales; Arecaceae.
GUCUAUUAUCAAUGAUUUCUAAUCCUAGGUCUAACCUAGUUAAAUGGACUUGACUCGAGCUAAUCCAUUAACCCAUGAGUUAUGAAAUUAGUGCCUUAGAUCUUUGAUUCUCAAAUCUAAAUCACUUAAUUCUCAAUUAAGUUUUGGGCUAAUAUGGGUUCGGGUUUGAUGUUUGAAAAUAAUUUUCAAUUUUAUAAAAUAUUUUUACAAUCAAUCAUCUAAUAAUCAAAACUUUAAUUUUAGAUCUAAUAUAUAUUAUUUCAGAUCUAAAAUAAAAUUUUAAAAAUUUUUUUAUUGUUCAUCAUCAUGGAAAAGAUCAUGCAACAACC